Long non-coding RNA from Micropterus salmoides (largemouth bass), 251 nucleotides. RefSeq lists it as uncharacterized. The record is from RefSeq and is a predicted model, not a curated record. The transcript has 3 exons. NCBI's taxonomy places the organism in Eukaryota, Metazoa, Chordata, Actinopteri, Centrarchiformes, Centrarchidae.
ACAGCUCUGUCCCUCCAGUGAAGAUCCACAUGGAGGUCAUAGAGCCGGUCCCCGCCUGUGUUAACCCUCCCACCCAAAACCAAACCUCAGAUUGAGAUGAACCCGUACUCGACGGUCACGUCCGAAGAAAACGAAUUAGACCGCAGCAUCACUCUGCACCUGAAGAUCACCUGCCCGCCCUCACCCGCCCAAUCCCAGACGAGCCUCGCCCCCGGGAUCGCCCCGUCGCCACACCUGCCGACACGCCCGCC